CUGCUCCAGUUGCCAUGGAGACGGGAAGCUGAACAAUGAGGCUCCAAUCCAGCAUGUCAGGCGCUGGUGAAAGGCGCCCACCACACCCAGCCCCCACCCCCUUGCCCCGGACACCAGCCUGGACCUCCCAGGCCUCCCCAGGGAGGAGAGAGGAGCCAGCCAGCCCGGGGGGGGGGGUGAGGAGAGGGAGUGGAGAGCCCAGCCCCAUUACUCAAAAACUGGCCAAUGGGUUGCCUGGGAUUAAUGCUGGAAGAUCCCCUAGCGACCAUCUAGACGGUUUCUCCUUCUUCCCAUUUUACAGAAUGCCACCUCAGAGCAGGGAACAGAGAGCAGCGGAAAUGAGCGCCCUCUCCCCAUUCCCCCCAAAAAGAAAUAGGACGACCCUCGGAACAAAGGAUGUCAGAUGUGGGAAAGACCUUGGAACAGGGAGCAGAGAGGGUCAGAGCUGGACUUCCCACUACAAAGUCCCGAGGACGCAGGAGUCAGUGUCCUGGAAGAUCUCCAGGGAAGAGAAGCUGCCGCCUCCCAAGAGAAGCCCAUCCCACUUUCCUAGGGCUCUAUAAACUUGACUCGACUCUGCAUCUCCUUCCCUUUGCUCCCAGUGUCCCAGUUCUGGAACCAAGCAGAGUAAGUGAAUUCUCUUCCACAUGACCCACCUUCAAAUACUGGAAGGCUGCCACCAUGUUCAACUAAGUCAUUUUCUAGAAACAUUCAUUAUUAUUAUUGUUAUUAUUAUAUCCCCCUGGAGUCUUUUUGUCAGUCUAAACACUUCUAAUAUCUCCAACAGAUCCUCUAUGUAAAGGUUGUUAUUUUUUAAAUUUAAAUGUCCUCAAUUAACAAAAAUCCACCUGCUCCUCCCUCCCCAUCGGAAAAGAAAAACAGAAACCAUGUAACAAAACUUCACAAGCUACAAAUGCCCACAUUGGCUGUGUCCACGAAAUAUAUGUCUCAUCUGAAUUCUGAGCCCUCAUCUACCCAUCAUUCUAUCAGCAACCAAGCAGCUUGUUUCAUGAUCGGUCCUUUGGACUCCUGUUCCUCUUUAUGUCGAUCAGAGUUCUUAGAUCUUUCAAAGUGGUUUGUUUUUACACUGUAUGUCAUUGUAUAAAUGGUACUCACUUCACUCUGAAUCAGUAUGCAAAAAUCUCUCAUAUAGAUAGAUAGAUAGAUAGAUAGAUAGAUAGAUAGAUAGAUAGAUAGAUAGAUAAAAACAUUCAGCCAUUCCCAAGUAAUGGACAACUCCUUCAUUUCCAGGUGUUUGCCACCCCAAAAAGAGGGGCUCUGAGUGUAUUUGUACAGAUGGCUCCUUUUCCUCCUCCUUUGAUCUCAGGUAAAAGCCUAAGAGUUAACAGCUCCAUCAUCGUGCAUUAUCAUACAUUGAUAUGCCUUUUUUGCCAAAGUCCCUCCAACAUUUAUCAUUUGGUCAGUUUUCUCACUCUGAGAAGUGUGUGGUCUAAUCUAAGAGUUGCUUUAAUUUGCUCAUGAUUUGGAACAUUCUUUCAUGUAGCUUCAGCAGUUUAGAUUUCUUCUGAAAAUUUCCUGUUUAUAUCUUUGACCAUUUUUCAACUUAAGAAUAUAGGGUUUGUUUCAUCCUUGUCCCCCCAAUUCCAAGCCCACUUCAUGGUACAAAGUCGAUGCCUGAUGAAUCUUGGUUGAUUAAUUGAUGUGGCUGGAAGUCAAGACCCUUCAACACUCUGGUUGACCUCCUCUGGACACUCUCCAGCUCAUCAACGCCCUACCUACACCUUGGUGCCCAAACUGAACAUGGCACUCCAUGGAUAUAGUCCAAUGAGGGCAGAGCACAGUAAAACAGUCACCUUCCUCUGACUGGUAGCUUGGUCUCAAGAUGGCAUCAGCCUUCUUGUAGACCACAUCCCACCAAUGACCCCUACUGGGCCGCCCUUUGGACCUGACUGCAUUCCAUUCUUUCAUUUCAGUUCAGCAAACAGUAAAUACAGGUUCUUGUCAUGUGCACUGAGAGGACAAAGAUGACAAAUGUCACAGUCUUGACUUCAAGGAACAGAUGAAUGGCAGGGACACACACACUCACACAUACACACCAGAAUGGGAAAAAAAAAAGCUAGCACAGGAUGAGGGCAGCAAAGUAGUCUAUGACAAUCUGAGGAGAGAGAAAUGACUGUGUCCAUGAAGGAAUCAAGGAGGGCUUCUGGGGGAGGUCACACCUGGGCUGAACCAUGAAGGCAAAGACUGACAGGUAAAGCUGGGGCUGGGGAGAGGGACUGGCCAACUAGGUGUGCACAGAUAUAAGAGGGAAAUCCUCAGAACUGUCCGCGGUGUAAGAUGUAUGCAGUGGAGAGAGAAGGUUUGGUAGCAGGUUGCAGCCAGAGGCUGUGGGCAGGCCUCCAACGUCCCCCUGAGAGCCUCCAGUCUGCAAGCAAGCCCUGAAGGUUUCUGAGCAAGGAGGAGCUGGCCUAGGGACUCUCCACCUCCUGCCUCUCUGUACCAGUCAAAGCCCCCAGUGAGCUUGCUGAGCCCCACUCUCACCCCUUUCGUGACAUCCACCCCAGGGAUGGCAUCUACAGGGUCCUAAAUUCCUUUUUUGGUCACAUUUCCUAUUUUUAAUGGACUACACGGAACUCACCACUUAAAGGAACUCAGCUUAGGUGUCUUGCUGUAAAAGGAGUCCAAUAAAC
This is a long non-coding RNA of Phascolarctos cinereus (koala), 2651 nucleotides long. Lineage: Eukaryota; Metazoa; Chordata; Mammalia; Diprotodontia; Phascolarctidae. The record is from Ensembl.